This 165-nucleotide small nuclear RNA is filed under the name Anneissia japonica. RNAcentral describes it as "U1 spliceosomal RNA". It matches the Rfam family "U1 spliceosomal RNA". Rfam says of the family: U1 is a small nuclear RNA (snRNA) component of the spliceosome (involved in pre-mRNA splicing). Its 5' end forms complementary base pairs with the 5' splice junction, thus defining the 5' donor site of an intron. Lineage: Eukaryota; Metazoa; Echinodermata; Crinoidea; Comatulida; Comatulidae. The record is from RNAcentral.
AUACUUACCUGGCACAGGAGUGACUUUGAUCAAGGAGGAAUGUCCUCCCAAGGUGAGGUCUCGGCAUUGCACUUGGCUGAGGUUGGCCCUUACAAUUCCCCCAAAUGUGGGGAACUCGGGUGUAUAAUUUAUGGUAGCGGGGGACUGCGUUCGCGCUAACCCCUA